This 362-nucleotide ribosomal RNA is filed under the name uncultured bacterium. Its description in RNAcentral is "bacterial SSU rRNA". It matches the Rfam family "Bacterial small subunit ribosomal RNA", at positions 8 to 349 of the family's 1533-position model. The record is from RNAcentral.
AGAGUUUGAUCAUGGCUCAGGAUGAACGCUGGCGGCGUGCCUAACACAUGCAAGUCGAACGAAGCUCCUGCGACAGAUUCCUUCGGGAUGAAGAUGCUUGAGACUUAGUGGCGGACGGGUGAGUAACGCGUGGGUAACCUGCCCUGUACUGGGGGACAGCAGUUAGAAAUGACUGCUAAUACCGCAUAAGCCUACGGAGUCGCAUGACUCAGCAGGAAAAAUUCCGGUGGUACAGGAUGGGCCCGCGUCUGAUUAGCUAGUUGGUGAGGUAAUGGCUUACCAAGGCGACGAUCAGUAGCCGGNUUGAGAGAGUGAACGGCCACAUUGGGACUGAGACACGGCCCAAACUCCGUACGGGAGCA